RNAcentral lists this ribosomal RNA (521 nucleotides) under uncultured bacterium. Its description in RNAcentral is "bacterial SSU rRNA". It matches the Rfam family "Bacterial small subunit ribosomal RNA", at positions 8 to 518 of the family's 1533-position model. The record is from RNAcentral.
AGGGUUCGAUUCUGGCUCAGGAUGAACGCUAGCUACAGGCUUAACACAUGCAAGUCGAGGGGCAGCAUGAAGUUUGCUUGCAAACUUGAUGGCGACCGGCGCACGGGUGAGUAACGCGUAUCCAACUUCCCUAUAGUAGAGAAUAGCCCGGCGAAAGUCGGAUUAAUGCUCUAUGUUCUUCUUUGAUGGCAUCUGACGAGAAGCAAAAGGUUCACCGCUAUAGGAUGGGGAUGCGUCUGAUUAGGUUGUUGGCGGGGUAACGGCCCACCAAGCCCACGAUCAGUAGGGGUUCUGAGAGGAAGGUCCCCCACAUUGGUACUGAGACACGGACCAAACUCCUACGGGAGGCAGCAGUGAGGAAUAUUGGUCAGUGGACGGAAGUCUGAACCAGCCAAGUAAGCGUGCAGGACGACUGCCCUAUGGGUUGUAAACUGCUUUUAUAGGGGAAUAAAGUGAGGUACGCGUACCUUUUUGUAUGUACCCUAUGAAUAAGGACCGGCUAAUUCCGUGCCAGCAGCGGC